This 253-nucleotide ribosomal RNA is filed under the name uncultured bacterium. RNAcentral's name for it is "partial 16S ribosomal RNA". It matches the Rfam family "Bacterial small subunit ribosomal RNA", at positions 524 to 776 of the family's 1533-position model. The record is from RNAcentral.
UACGUAGGGUGCGAGCGUUGUCCGGAAUUAUUGGGCGUAAAGAGCUCGUAGGCGGUUUGUUGCGUCUAUCGUGAAAACCUGCGGCUUAACUGUGGGCUUGCGGUGGAUACGGGCAGACUUGAGUUCGGUAGGGGAGACUGGAAUUCCUGGUGUAGCGGUGAAAUGCACAGAUAUCAGGAGGAACACCGGUGGCGAAGGCGGGUCUCUGGGCCGAUACUGACGCUGAGGAGCGAAAGCGUGGGGAGCGAACAGG